UUUCCCUCAGGAUAGCUGGCACUCGCUUAAAGCGAGUCUCAUCUGGUAAAGCGAAUGAUUAGAGGCCUUGGGGCCGAAACGACCUCAACCUAUUCUCAAACUUUAAAUGGGUGAGAUCUCUGGCUUGCUUGAAACUUGAAGCCACGAGAUUAACAUUGUAAAAUGGAUCAGAGUGCCAAGUGGGCCAAUUUUGGUAAGCAGAACUGGCGCUGUGGGA
RNAcentral lists this ribosomal RNA (217 nucleotides) under Ancylotropus montanus. RNAcentral's name for it is "partial 28S ribosomal RNA". It matches the Rfam family "Eukaryotic large subunit ribosomal RNA", at positions 967 to 1163 of the family's 3401-position model. Lineage: Eukaryota; Metazoa; Arthropoda; Insecta; Hymenoptera; Eucharitidae. The record is from RNAcentral.